GAAUCUCAGGGGUUUUAGAAACACACAAAGAAUAUAAAAUAUUCAAGAAAACACUCCAGAAUCAAAGGGCAUGAGUUUCAGAUUGAAAGGGCCACCAAGGGACCAACACAAUAGGUAUAUCACUGUGAAACUUCUUAACACUGGGGACAAAGGAAUCCUACAAGGUCACACACAAAGAAGGCUCUGGCCUUAACAGCAGCCCUGGAAGCUUGAAGACAAUGGAGCCACGCUAUCAAAGUUCUGAGACAAAGUGACUUCUUAUCUAGAAUUCCACACUUCAUCAAUCAAGGGUUGGACAUUUUCAGACAUGCAAGCUUUCAAAAUAUUUCCCUCUCAUGAACUCUCGGGAAGCUCCUGGAGAAUGUAUGUCAUCAAAAACAGGGAAGAAAGCAAGAAAUGAGAAGACACAGGAAAGAGUGGAAACUAGAGAGUUUCUGCUUCAAGAUGUUGAAACGGAGACUCCAAGAGGAUGGUUUCUGAGCGUGAGUCCUAGCGUCAGCUACCAUCAGCAGCAGCAGCACAGCACGGAGCCAGAUCUCGGGCGCAGACACUCAUGGAGAGGCCACAGUUUAAUCAGCAAGCUGAGGCAAACCGUGUUUCAGGAGAAUUCACAAUAUAAGAAAUGAGGCAUGGCUAUGAUGUAACAAAGCUGAAGUCUAAACAUGCAAGAACCUACCUACCCAAAACUGAUCUGAAAAAUGCUGGUUUUGCUCAGCACUCUUCUGGAACUUCUCUGUUGGAGUUGCUUUCAGGGUCAAUCUACAGUCCAAACUUUACCAGCACACUUUAUUUGUUAACAUCUCUAACCUGAUCACCCGUUAACUUAGCUCUGAGUUAAGACUUCCUACGGUUUUCUCCAAAAUAAAAUCUACUCUCA
RNAcentral lists this long non-coding RNA (877 nucleotides) under Equus asinus (donkey). RNAcentral's name for it is "lncRNA (ENSEASG00005024803.1)". The record is from RNAcentral. Lineage: Eukaryota; Metazoa; Chordata; Mammalia; Perissodactyla; Equidae.